Molecule: ribosomal RNA, 548 nt
Filed under: uncultured bacterium
Lineage: Bacteria
Description: bacterial SSU rRNA
Rfam family: Bacterial small subunit ribosomal RNA
Source: RNAcentral
UAGGGAAUCUUCGGCAAUGGACGGAAGUCUGACCGAGCAACGCCGCGUGAGUGAAGAAGGUUUUCGGAUCGUAAAGCUCUGUUGUAAGAGAAGAACGAGUGUGAGAGUGGAAAGUUCACACUGUGACGGUAUCUUACCAGAAAGGGACGGCUAACUACGUGCCAGCAGCCGCGGUAAUACGUAGGUCCCGAGCGUUGUCCGGAUUUAUUGGGCGUAAAGCGAGCGCAGGCGGUUAGAUAAGUCUGAAGUUAAAGGCUGUGGCUUAACCAUAGUACGCUUUGGAAACUGUUUAACUUGAGUGCAAGAGGGGAGAGUGGAAUUCCAUGUGUAGCGGUGAAAUGCGUAGAUAUAUGGAGGAACACCGGUGGCGAAAGCGGCUCUCUGGCUUGUAACUGACGCUGAGGCUCGAAAGCGUGGGGAGCAAACAGGAUUAGAUACCCUGGUAGUCCACGCCGUANCGAUGAGUGCUAGGUGUUAGACCCUUUCCGGGGUUUAGUGNCGCANCUAACGCAUUAAGCACUCCGCCUGGGGAGUACNACCGCAAGGNU